UGGUGGAGUGAUUUGUCUGGUUAAUUCCGAUAACGAACGAGACCUUUGGCUGAAAUUGGUAGGUUGCAUUUUUAAGAUGGAGCGAUGAUUUUCAGCGACACCUGGUGUUAAGCCAGGGGAAGUUAAAGGCAAUAACA
Molecule: ribosomal RNA, 137 nt
Filed under: uncultured eukaryote
Lineage: Eukaryota
Description: partial 18S ribosomal RNA
Rfam family: Eukaryotic small subunit ribosomal RNA
Source: RNAcentral